UUAAUUUUACGUUUUUAAGUCAGUUUCAAGUGUUUUAGCAAUCCCUCCUAAUCCCCGGCCUAGAACAAUCCCUACUUACAUUCUUUACUACAAUUGACAACAAGAGGGUUUAAUUUGUGUGUUAAGAUAAUUUUCGCAUCACUUCACCUACAAAAGCUUCACACUAUCUUGAUCAAGAUAGUGUGAAGCAAAAUCAAUUCAUGGUGCCCAACAAAGCUUGACCCACAAAAGCUUGACCCAUAAAAGCUUUACCCACAAAAGCUUCACCCACAAAAGCUUCACCUACAAAACUUCAACACAAAAGUUUCACCUACGAAAACUUCACACUAUCUUGAUAAAGAUAGUGUGAAGCAAAAUCAAUUCAUGGUGCCCAACAAAGCUUCAACCUCAAAGCUUCACCUACAAAGCUUCAACACUAAAGCUUCACCUACAAAGCUUCAACACCAAAGUUUUACCUACAAAGCUUUAAAAUAUAUAUAUAUAUAUAUUUUCGGAAAAUCGAAAAUUCAAAAAUUUGAAAAUUCAAAAAAAAAAAAAUUGCCUAGGCCUCCUCUUCUUUGGGCCUAACAACUUUCAUAACAAAUAUAUAUGAAGAAUGAGUUUUGGACUACCACUUAGAAAGGAAAUGCCUCAUUCGUCAACUCCCUCGACCGGAGACUUGGGGGACUCCUACCAUAUGCUACUACACCUUGAUACUCGGAAGUCUCACGACCACUCAGUGACUUGGAUUUUUCAAGUCUCCAAACCAGAAGUUUUCCUCACUCGGGAAAGUAAGGAAGCACUACCUCAACCUACAUGCUUCACUCACAAAGCUUCAGCAUACAAGCUUCAACAAAAGGAAAAAUUCAAAAAACUUAGUGAAGAAGGCCUUAUUGUAUUUAACACAAUACGUUGAAAUGAAGUAAAGCUUGUUUAUUGAUAUCUCCGAUAAGUUACAAAUAUGUACAUAUACAUGAAUCAAAAUAAACAAACAAGAGGGAGCCUUCACAAAGGUUGCUCAGGAGAAGUCUUAGCAGUCGGCAGAGCCCCAGAUCGAGGAGGCACCAGAGGGUGAUUAUUUAGAGCCUCAGUACUAGGCAGAACCCCAGAAGGAGGAGGCACCGAAGGUUGAUCAUUUGGAGCUUCAUUACGCGGUACAUCCCCAGAAGACGAAGGCAAUAAAUGCCUUUGGAACAAACCCACAAACCUCUGAUGAUCAAGUAAAAUCUGA
This 1210-nucleotide long non-coding RNA is filed under the name Malus domestica (apple). RNAcentral's name for it is "long non-coding RNA (MDOM_LNC015455)". Lineage: Eukaryota; Viridiplantae; Streptophyta; Magnoliopsida; Rosales; Rosaceae. The record is from RNAcentral.